AAGCAAAAUAAGUGAUAUGGAGCAAAACCCUAAAAACGGUACUCAGUUCGGAUUGAAGGCUGAAAUUCGCCUUCAUGAAGCUGGAAUUGCUAGUAAUGGCAGGUCAGCAUACUGCCGUGAAUACGUUCCCGGGCCUUGUACACACCGCCCGUCACACCAUGAGAGUUGGGAAUACCCGAAGCCUGUGAGCUAACUGUAAGGAGGCAGCAGUCGAAGGUAGAAUCAAUGAUUGGGGUGAAGUCGUAACAAGGUAUC
Molecule: ribosomal RNA, 255 nt
Filed under: uncultured bacterium
Lineage: Bacteria
Description: partial 16S ribosomal RNA
Rfam family: Bacterial small subunit ribosomal RNA
Source: RNAcentral